GACGAACGCUGGCGGCGUGCUUAACACAUGCAAGUCGAACGGAAAGGCCCUGCUUUUGUGGGGUUCUCGGGUGGCGAAAGGGUGAGUAACACGUGAGUAACCUGCCCUUGACUUUGGGAUAACUUCAGGAAACUGGGGCUAAUACCGGAUAGGAGCUCCCGCUGCAUGGUGGGGGGUGGAAAGUUUCGGCGGUUGGGGAUGGACUCGCGGCUUAUCAGCUUGUUGGUGGGGUAGUGGCUUACCAAGGCUUUGACGGGUAGCCGGCCUGAGAGGGUGACCGGCCACAUUGGGACUGAGAUACGGCCCAGACUCCUACGGGAGGCAGCAGUGGGGAAUAUUGCACAAUGGGCGGAAGCCUGAUGCAGCAACGCCGCGUGCGGGAUGACGGCCUUCGGGUUGUAAACCGCUUUCGCCUGUGACGAAGCGUGAGUGACGGUAAUGGGUAAAGAAGCACCGGCUAACUACGUG
RNAcentral lists this ribosomal RNA (468 nucleotides) under uncultured bacterium. RNAcentral describes it as "partial 16S ribosomal RNA". It matches the Rfam family "Bacterial small subunit ribosomal RNA", at positions 28 to 507 of the family's 1533-position model. The record is from RNAcentral.